Molecule: unclassified non-coding RNA, 382 nt
Filed under: uncultured Sordariomycetes
Lineage: Eukaryota; Fungi; Ascomycota; Sordariomycetes
Description: sequence contains ITS1
Rfam family: 5.8S ribosomal RNA (bases 1-105)
Source: RNAcentral
GAAAUGCGAAACGUAAUGCGAUUUGCACGAACCUGUGAGUCAUCAAGUCUUUGAACGCACCUUGCACCAUAUGAGCAAUCGUAUGGUAUACCUGUUUGAGAAUCGUAAAAGCCCUCUCCUACCUUCCCUUGUGUUGGGUAGGGAAGUGUCUGCUUUGGGUGUGAGCCCAAUCGGAUCAAAAGCAGUAGGUCUAGUCAGGCUGGUGGCCUGGGACAUUGUGUGCUAGAGACGUCGCCCUUGGUGGUUGCUGUCUUCUCACGAUGCGUCCUGGGCUAUUUCAAGCUGGUCUGGCGGUCGGCCUCCUCGGUGGGACACCCUUCGCGGGUGUGCUACAACCCCCCCUUUUGAUCUCAAAUCAGGUAAGGCUACCCGCUGAACUUAA